Molecule: non-coding RNA, 1954 nt
Organism: Ictidomys tridecemlineatus (thirteen-lined ground squirrel)
Lineage: Eukaryota; Metazoa; Chordata; Mammalia; Rodentia; Sciuridae
Source: RefSeq, a predicted model, not a curated record
GGGCGGGGCUGGGGCGCGAGGCGAACUGGCCUGUGGCGUAUUUGGCGGGAGGCUGGCUUCCCCCGGCUACCUGUGGCUGCGCGGGAUUUCCAGUUUCCGCCCUGUCUCUCCCUGAAGCUUCUCAGUCCUCCCUCCAUGGUGACUGCGUAGGGCAUAGUAGCCUUUCCCUCGGAGGACGCGAUGGCGCCCAGGAAACGCCCGGAAGCCCCGAAGACCCCCAGCGUGGCGGCGCGCCUCCGGAGCAAGAGAAGUCCCCGGGAGCUGGAGCCCGAGGCCAAGAAGCUCAGGGUGAAGGGCUCCGGUUCUAGCAGGAGAUAUGACUCAGGCUGCCUUUGGGCGGGGUUGGCUAGCCUGCAGGUCCCGCCACCAAGCAGCAGCAUCGUCAGGGCCCUCCACCAGUAUAAGUUGGGCAAAGCUGCCUGGCCAUCACUACAGCAGGGUCUUCAGCAGUCCUUUUUGCACUCUCUGGCUUCUUACCGGAUAUUCCAAAAGGCUGCUCCCUUUGACAGGAGGGCUACAUCCUUGGCAUGGCACCCGACUCAUCCCAGCACCCUGGCUGUGGGUUCCAAAGGGGGAGAUAUCAUGCUCUGGAACUUUGGCAUAAAGGAAAAACCCACCUUCAUUAAAGGGAUUGGAGCUGGAGGGAGCAUCACUGCGCUGAAGUUUAACCUUCUCAAUACCAACCAGUUUUUUGCCUCCUCAAUGGAGGGAACAACUAGGCUGCAGGACUUUAAAGGCAACACUCUCCGAGUUUUUACCAGCUCAGAUACCUGCAACGUCUGGUUUUGCAGCCUGGAUGUGUCUGCCAACAGCCGAAUGGUGGUCACAGGAGACAACGUGGGGCAUGUGAUCCUGCUGAACACAGAUGGCAAGGAGCUUUGGAAUCUCCGAAUGCACAAAAAGAAAGUGACCCAUCUGGCUCUAAACCCCUGCUGCGACUGGCUACUGGCCACAGCUUCCGUAGAUCAAACAGUGAAACUCUGGGACCUGCGCCAGAUUAGAGGGAAAGCCAGCUUCCUUUACUCGCUGCCACACAGGCAUCCUGUCAACUCAGCUUGUUUCAGCCCUGAUGGAGCCCGGCUCCUGACCACUGAUCAGAAGAGUGAGAUCCGGAUUUACUCUGCUUCCCAGUGGGACUGUCCCCUGGACCUGAUCCCACACCCUCACCGUCACUUCCAGCACCUAACACCCAUCAAGGCAACCUGGCAUCCUCGGUACAACCUCAUUGUUGUGGGCCGAUACCCAGAUCCUAAUUUCAAAAGUUGUGCCCCCUAUGAAUUAAGGACGAUUGAUGUGUUUGAUGGAAGCUCUGGGAAGAUGAUGUGUCAGCUCUAUGACCCAGAAUCUUCUGGUAUCAUUUCGGUGAGGCUUGGGCACUCAAAUGAUGGGGGGGAAGCAGGAAUUCACCCGACCUCAGCAGAAAUUAGUCCUAUGUGCCCUUCUGUCUCUACCAAUACCUUCACUCUCUCUUCAUGUUGAUACUCUUGUCUCUGCAGCUCAACGAGUUCAACCCCAUAGGGGACACGCUGGCCUCUGCCAUGGGUUAUCACAUUCUCAUUUGGAGCCAGGAGGAGGCUAAGCCAUGGGAUGAAAAUGAGACACAUUGAAGAAAGUGUGGGCAAAGCAACAGCUACGAGGCCACAAAUGGAAAUGAGUGCUAUGAAGAGGCAGCUACCUGUUACCGGGCCAAAAGUAUCCAAGUCUUAGGAUUGAAGAUGGGCACUGUGGGACGGGGACUGGGACAUUGGAAUGUUACUGCUUUUGACAGCUCCAGAAACUUGGGGUGAUCCAGCUGCCCUAAGAGUCCUGUUUUAUCUAGCCUGGAGCCAGCUUACCCUGAAGCUAAAGUACUUUUCUCCUUUCUAAUAGGUGGUGGCUGAGUGAUCAGGGCGUGUUUUUUGUUUUUGGUUUGUAUUCACUAUUGACAAGGCCAAUAAAACCAAAUCCAACUGAG